CUAAAUACCGCGUCGUGAUUUGUUUGUAGCCUUAUUCAUUAUUCAUGAUUUUACAAAGUUGACAUGGAAAUUCAAGCUGGCUGAUAAUUUAUAUGCUCAAUUCUGAAUACUUUGGUUGUACUAUUGGACAUAUUGUUGUUCCCUUCCUAUAAAAUUUAUUGUGUUCUGUAUUUUAAUAUUUCUGUAUAGGACUCCAGAUGGUGCACCGGAAAAAAAGCUUUAUAAAGAAAAGUUUGAAAAAGUGGCAGCAAAAUUCAAACGUGCUCAACCGAUCGAAGCAGAUGAAGUGAACGACCUCAAGGACAUUUUGAAAAACUAUGAGUAGACAAAAACUAGCCUCUUUCACAAUGUACUUAGGCAUUGUUCAUGACAGAGUUUAUUUUAACGUGCAGUUCUACGCGAAACGUGCAGUUCUAAACCCAUUUGUGCAGUUCUUAAAACACAAAUGUACGUGCAGUCACGAAACAAACAAAAGCAACACACCCUUGCGGAUGCUCCAGAAAAUUCCAGGAAUGCUGUCAUUGCAUGAGCAUCGAAAAUAUAAACGUUUUCUGGGAGAGGGCCCCCAAGACCCUCCUAUUUUCCUCACAAAUCACUCACGUGCUGGGGUAAUGGAAAAGAAGGUAAAAUUAUGGGGCGAGCGAAGAUCUCCAAUAGAAAUUAGAAUGGGAGAACCUAAUAUUCUUUCCUGCCUGAAAUGCAAAUUAAAGGUUAUUAUAUAUUGAAUAUCCCUGAUUCCCAGUUACAUGUUUUGAAACUGUUUUUGUGAGUGGUUGAGUAAAACAAAUCUUUGCCAGAACUUAUAAGAGCCUCUAGGUUCAAAUUAUUUUGGGGAACACUCCCCUCCCCCACUCCCGCACCCAAUUACACCAUUAUUCUGUCACUUAUAUGCAGGUAAAAAAUCCUUUGACACCCCCCCCCCAGUCAAACAUCCGUUGGUUUUGCAACAUCCCUAUAUGUGCAAUUCUAAAUUUUUCUUGAAAUAAACCCUGGUUCAUGAUAUGAAAAUUAGAGAUUUCUCAAUUACAUCUUGUGUGGCUCGCAUACGGGUGUAUUCUUGAAAUUUAAGCUUUGAAUUUUGUACGAAAUAAUGGAACUUGUAUUUUUUUUUAAAAAGUAAAAACAUACAUAU
This is a non-coding RNA of Paramuricea clavata, 1132 nucleotides long. Lineage: Eukaryota; Metazoa; Cnidaria; Anthozoa; Malacalcyonacea; Plexauridae. The record is from the annotation of a GenBank genome assembly.